This 258-nucleotide ribosomal RNA is filed under the name uncultured bacterium. RNAcentral describes it as "partial 16S ribosomal RNA". It matches the Rfam family "Bacterial small subunit ribosomal RNA", at positions 793 to 1055 of the family's 1533-position model. The record is from RNAcentral.
GUCCACGCCGUAAACGAUGACAACUUGACGAUGGGAAGGUUACUUUCGUUGUCGGAGCUAACGCAUUAAGUUGUCCGCCUGGGAGUACGGCCGCAAGGCUGAAACUCAAAGGAAUUGACGGGACCCGCACAAGCGGUGGAGCAUGUGGUUUAAUUCGAUGCAACGCGAAAACCUUACCUGGUCUUGACAUCUACAGAACUAUCCAGAGAUGGAUGGGUGCCUUCGGGAACUGUAAGACAGGUGCUGCAUGGCUGUCGU